CACUCUGGAUAGUCAGUAUCGCGCAGCGCGUCGUGCCGUGCAGGUCGGCAGAUCAUUGACUUUGUGUGUUUCUGACGUUAAAUAACAUGAUUAAGUUAAUGACCUUAUUGCACUGUUACACGGGAUAACAUUCCGCCCCGUCGGUCGGAAUUAUUUCUCCCACUUUAGUGAGGUUUCGUCACUGAGGCACUGAGAUCUGUCGCAAAUGUAGGGACCGAGGGUGUGUUAACAGUUUUGUAUUCUAGAAUGAGCGAUGGAUUGCUAUCCCGCAGGAUAAAUCGAGUCGUGACACGGGAUGUGAUAAGCUCAAGACUGUGAAGUGUAACUUCAGGAUGACCCUGACAGGCAGGACAUUCGUUUGCUUACUUAUGGGCUGUAAUGUCGUCGUUUGUCUCGUUGCUGGUGACGGGACUGCUGAGACGUCACGAUACGCAGCACCCGAGGAUUGCUCCUGGCAACCCCUUGGUACUGGGCAUGAAGUAUCCUUAAGCUGCAGUCUAAGGUCAAUCAACAGCGAGUUUGACACUACCAACUUUAGUCUUAUACCAGCUGAGAGAACAGCCAUUCUUGGAUUGGAGUGCGAUCCUGACGUACCGGCUAAAAGUAGUCUGGCUGGCGGUAGUUUUGCACACUUGCAUAAUCUUCGAGAACUUCGAUUGGAUGACUGCAAAUUGUCCAGCUGGCCUUCCGAUGCUCUGGAGGGUUUGAGGAAUUUACGGAAUCUCACCAUCAGGACUCGUAAUGUUGAUUAUCCUGCGUUCAGUCUGGAGCUCUCUCCAAAAGCCUUCGCGGCAGCUGGACAAUUGGAGAGACUCGAUCUAGCUUCAAAUAAUAUCUGGUCCUUUCCCGAGGGAAUAUUCUGCUCUCUCGCUGUCUUGGUCUAUCUCAAUGUCACCGGUAACAGACUUCAGGACGUUACGGAACUUGGCUUUCGCGAGAGCGGUUAUCAACAACCGCAGUCAGUGCUGGUGAACGCGGAUCAGAGGUCGUCGGGUCCUGCCUCAUGUUCACUGGAUAUCCAGAUCCUCGAUGUUUCGAGGAAUCACCUUGUGUUACUUCCACCUAGAGGAUUCUCCACGCUGAAGAGAUUACGGGUGUUGCGAAUAGCUGAAAAUGAAAUUAAUAUGGUCGACGAUAAAGCUCUGGCUGGGUUGCGGAGUUUAGAGAUAUUUGAUUUGUCCGAUAAUAAAGUCGUAGCAUUACCAGCUGAUCUAUUCAAGGAUACUUCCAAGUCCAUCACUGAGAUUCAUCUUCAAAAUAAUUCCCUGAGUGUCCUGGCGCCUGGACUCUUUGAAGGACUUAAGCAGCUAGUCACUCUGGACCUAUCCAAGAAUUCGUUGACGAGCACGUGGUUCGGAUCGAACACGUUUUCGGGACUGAUAAGAUUAGUUCUCUUGGACUUAUCACAUAACAAAAUUGCUUCCUUGGAUCCCGUACUGUUCAAAGAUCUAUACACUGUGCAGAUAUUGGAUCUACAUGAUAAUGAGCUGGAGUCUAUACCAGCCGACACGUUCUCACCCAUGAGCAACCUUCAUACUUUGGUAUUAACAAACAAUAAACUUACUUACUUGGAUGUCUAUUCACUGAACGGUCUCUUCGCACUGUCCUUAUUGGCUCUGGAUUCUAACCUUCUGGAAGGGAUACAUCCCGAUGCAUUUCGGAAUUGUUCGAGCAUGCAAGAUCUCAAUCUCUCGGGAAACAACCUGGACAGCGUGCCCGCAGCGGUGAAUGACAUGAGAAUGCUCAGAACCAUAGACCUGGGGGAAAAUCGAAUCAGGACUUUGGAGCAGUCAGGAUUUCGGGGGAUGACGAAUCUCUAUGGUCUUCGACUUAUCGGGAACGAGCUUGUGAACGUCACGAAGAUGGCACUCACGGAGCUACCUGCCCUUCAGAUACUCAAUCUAGCCAGAAAUAGGAUUGAGAGGAUCGAAACUGGAGCCUUUUCCACCAAUCUGGCUUUACAGGCUAUAAGACUGGAUGCUAAUUUACUUCAGGAUAUCAGUGGCGUGUUUCUGGAUGCACCGGGUUUAUUGUGGCUGAACGUUUCUGAUAAUCUCAUUGAACACUUUGAUUAUAAUUUAUUGCCACGAGGACUACAGUGGCUCGAUCUACGUAAAAACGUUAUAGAUGACCUUGGAAUGGCUCCUGUUGGUCUUUCACUUCAAACUUUAGACGCAUCAUUCAAUCGUAUUACUCGGAUAUCGGCUGCAUCACUGCCUGAUUCUUUAGAAUUACUUUUUCUUAAUGAUAAUUUAUUGCAUACGGUAGAGCCGCACACCUUUGUAGCUAAGGUCAAUCUUUCAAGAGCGGAUCUCUAUGCUAAUCAAAUUGUUAGUAUGGAAUUGUCCGCUUUGCAAUUGGCACCAGUACCGUCCGAGAGGAUUUUACCAGAGUUUUACGUGGGCGGAAAUCCAUUUCAAUGCGAUUGCACUAUGGAAUGGUUACAAAGGAUCAACACUUUGACACUACGACAUCAUCCAAAGGUUAUGGAUCUGACUUCAGUCUAUUGUAGGUUGCCUUACGAUAGAAGAAGACCGUUCGCACCGUUGCUGGAAGUGGCGCCUUCCCAGUUUCUUUGUACGUACAAGACUCAUUGCUUCGCCCUGUGUCACUGUUGCGACUUCGAUGCCUGUGAUUGUGAAAUGACAUGUCCAGCCAAUUGCACCUGUUACCACGACCAGUCCUGGUCAGCCAACGUGGUAGAUUGCUCCCGAGCUGGAUACACGAGUCUGCCUGGAAGACUGCCGAUGGACGCUACCGAAGUAUAUCUCGACGGAAAUGAUUUCGGUGAACUGACUUCUCACGCCUUCAUCGGCAGGAAGAAUCUCGAAGUUCUUUACGCCAACGACAGCAACAUUCUGGCUGUUCAUAAUCACACGUUCAGCGGGCUGCGGCGUCUCUCCGUAUUGCAUCUCGAGAAUAACAAGAUCUCCACGCUGAAGGGUUCCGAGUUCACGGCACUGGAGAGCCUGAAGGAACUCUACCUGCAGAACAACCUUCUAGUGCAUAUUGACAACGGGACUUUCCUCACUCUGAGGCGCCUUGAGGUUCUGCGUCUAGAGGGCAAUCGACUGACUACCUUCGCGGUAUGGCAACUUGCCCAGAAUCCCUACCUAGUGGACAUAGGCCUAGCCGCUAAUCCAUGGAGCUGCGAAUGCUCCUACUUGGCCCGAUUCCGCGAGUGGGUGUCCCUUCACCAGGCUAAGGUAGCGGACUUGGCACGUGUCUCCUGCGCCUUGGGCUCUCCCUUAAACCCAAUAGGGAAUGGUUCCCUAAUAAAUUGUGCGGCUCUUUCUGGAGCCACUCCCGCCGUGGGAACUCGUCCACUUCAAGGUUACAUACCUUUAUUGCUUGCCACGGUAGUAUUAUCCUUCACUCUGGUGGGUCUUCUCUGUGGCGCCCUCCGACAUCGCCGAGCUCUACGUGCAUGGGCAGCAAGUCGUUGUGGACUAAGAGCAUGCUACAAGACUGCUGCCUUCGAGGAAAGUGACAGACCCUUCGACGCCUAUAUCAGUUACUCAGCCAAGGACGAAGCAUUCGUCUCCAGAUCCUUGGCUCCUGGUCUUGAAUCCUCGUAUCGCCUGUGUCUACAUUAUCGUGAUCUCGGUUCCGGUUGUAGUGUCGUCGAUGCUGUAAACGAGGCUGCUGAUUCCUCAAGACGUACCAUCCUCGUUCUGUCUAGGAACUUCCUUCACGGGGAAUGGGCACGUUUCGAAUUUAAAGCUGCCCUCAGAAAUGUUUUACGAGAAAAGGGUCCUUCGGUUAUUCUUCUACUGGUAGGCGGUGUAGGACCUCAGGAUCUCGACGCGGAUCUCCGAAAACGCAUGGCCACCCACACCGUACUCUCUUGGGGUGAAAAAUUAUUCUGGCAAAAACUCAGGUUCGCCAUGCCUGAUCCACCCACUUCUCUUGUUACUCUUGAUCGUGGCUUGCCGCCCGCUCCACUUCCACCACCACCACAUCAUCUAUGGGCGUAGCGGAUGUUUCGAUGCAGAUUCCGAUCGAGGCAUGUGGACUCGCACAAAGGACACGACUGAUUAAUUAGUAAGCCGAGUAACGUCAUACACGAGUAUUCUCACACCGAGACCUUUGGCCACGGGAACGCCUCGAACUCAGCUGCGAUUAUCACACAAUAUACCAGGACAUCUUGCCGAGCGUCUCGUCAGAUGGGUGUUGUGAUUACGAGAAGAACAAGGCGAACAGAAAAUUUUGCGAAAGCGGACACUGAAGAAGUUGGAUGUCCGGUUUGAAUUAUACGAUAGCAAGUGAUUAAAUGUUUUUUCUUCGUAGGAGGAAGUAUCGGCAAGCAAUCGUGCUUGUUGCUGUAUAAAUGUAUAAAUUAUACUCACCAGAUAUAAAGAACUAUAUUAUAUAUUUGAAGAUUUUGAUGAAAAAUAUGUGUAGGGCACUUCAUUUGUAAAUAGCAUUUACUAGAUUAAUGCAGCACGACAUACUGGAAAAAAGGGGUGUUUUUAAAAAGACAGUUCGAAAGUCACGUGGACUUUUUUGUGAUAACGGACAAAUAAUCAACGUUAUUAAAAAGCCUGGUCCUGCUUGGAAAAAAAACCGAUAAGACUUUCGCGAAAGCAGCUUUAACUUUUAUUCGCGAUCGAUCUUGGAAACCAAUCCCAAUUGCUUUGCAUAAAACGGAAACGUUAGAAUUUCCAUUUUGAUUGGAAUCGUGAAUCUGGCACGCGGAAUUACGGGGGACCUUGAUUGACGGCGAAUUUUCUCACACAUCCUAUGCGUCAUACUAAAAAUUCAGACCACAGAUCUAAAAGCUUUGCGAAUCUGAUAAGAAUAUUUUUUGCCAUCAUUUUUUUUAUACUUCCAUCCUAUUCUUUUUUCUUUCUCUUUUCUUCUUUGACAUAAUCGCACUGUACCACUCUAAUUAACAAGUUCUAUAAUGCCGUGAAUUGUAUGUCGCAGAUUUUAUGUGACGUUCGGAGGAGUUAAUCCUAAGGGAAUAAAAUUAUUCUACGAGGAAACAAAUGCACCCAUCGAGUGAACAAUUUUUUUUUUAUAAUAAUGAAAAUACAAAAUAUACGUUAAAGAUAUACACGGUACACGACAUAGUACUAGGACUUCGAAUUCUAAUGCGGAAAUGUCCGUUUAAUCUGUAAAUAUUGAUAUAUGAAUUAGCUUGCUAUAUUUGGUAAUAGUCACGAAUUUUGUAGAUUGUUUCUACUGCGUCGUAUGUGUUGUUUAUUAGAAAGAAGAUGGAAAAAAUGUCAAGAUAAAUUAGAAAUGUAUGUGGAUCACAACCUCUUCUUGUAUUUAUAUUUGAUUAAUAAAAUAUCUUUUCCACUAAUAUGACUGACAUGUAAAAGACAAAAUGUUGAUGAAUAUUUCCGUACUGUUAAUAACCCCUAUUAAAGAAGAGGAAAAUAAUUAUAAUUUAUUAAGGAUAAUACUACUAAUCGAUUUAUGCAAUAAUUUUCAGUACACAUGUAUAAAGCAGUCAUAGAAUGAGUCAAUGCAAAAGAUUCUUGUUUAUUAUACAUAUACGAAACUUAAAAAAAUAAAAAAUAGUCAAAUUUCUGGGUAAAACAGAACGAUACUGAAUUUAAUGUUUUCCUAAGUUAUUAAUGCUAGGAGAGGUUUAUUUCCGGAAAUCGAGCGCCUGACCAGAACCUAGUUGGGCCUGUAGGGUCUAUAGCGAGGCCCGAAGAGAAAUUUCCACUAGAGAAAUUCGCAAAUUCAGAUGAAUUUUAAAGUAAAUAACGACACUGUGUUAUAUUUGCCUCGAAAUGAAGUUGUGCAUAUUGCAUAGGUGCAUACUUCUAUGUUAUUGCAUAAUAUUAUAUAUAUACAUAUAAAGCGUACUACAGUGUGUAUUGGUAAAUACGCGACGAACGCUCGCUUAGAUUACAAAAAUGUGGCAAAUUCAUUUUUUCAAAAUUGAUUUCUCGCAGUCAGAUCGCCACGACUGGACCAGUGACACCGAAAAUAAAAAAGAAUUCUCUCAAAAUAAUGAUUUUGUAGAAAAUGGAGGUUUCAAAUCACCAGCCAAGUCUUAGAAAUAAUAUUGUCAAACGUUUCGUAAUAAUGUUACGGAAGAAACCUCGAAUUCUGAAAAGCUACCGGAAAUUUGAAAAUUUUUUUAACUAAUGUAAGCCGGCUAACAGAAGUAGAUGUGGCAAUGCCAAAAUUGUAUGUGAAACGAAAAAUGGAGAAUGAACGGGACUGACUGAAUGGUCACAUAGACACGUAUGUGUAAGUAUCUGUGUGAGAAUGAGCAAAAGCAGAAAGGACGAGCUUUUAUAUUUUUAGCGCAAAUCGACUAGAAAGUGUUGGAUAGUAUGGUAAAAAAAGAGUUACGCUACUGUAAAUAUUUAGGAUUGCUCCCGAAUUACACACAUAAUUAAUGAAAAAGUCCCAGUCUAUCUUUUUGGCACACGGGGACUCUUUGCAAGGCUGCAAUUUCACGAAGAUUUCAAAGUCAAAUUUCUCAUUUAACAUUUUCUUGGGGUCUGGCAGCUGCGAGUCACUUAAACAAAAAUACUAAGAAACAAUUCUUCGUUUUAACAAUAGUCUGAUAUAAGAACCACACACACACAUGAUAUCCAAAAAAAAGCAUUGCAUUUACUCUUCAUUCUUGUCAAUUAUUACAAUUAUAAAAAUCCGAAAAUUCACUUGCACUAUUUCGUACAUUCAUCUAACUCGAUGACAGCAUCAAUUGACAUUUUUGAAAAUAUUGGGUAGGUAUAUCGAAAAUUUUAUUUUCAGGCACGAGUACCAAAUAUACGUACUAUAUUUUGAAUGAAAUCCAAAUAGGAAAAGUCUAUACCAGAUUUGCUAAAGUGGCGCGAGUUUCCGGUUGCCUGUAAACGACGGGAGCUCAGGUGAAUAAUAGUUGUUAAUGUUGCUGGUAAUUGGCACGUCACCAUUACUGUAACACAAUGUAUUUCAUUUAUAACAAGAUAAUAAAGAAUUUCUAGUUACUU
RNA transcript from Cephus cinctus (wheat stem sawfly), 6947 nucleotides. It is a transcript of the gene named toll-like receptor 6, with no coding region annotated. The record is from RefSeq and is a predicted model, not a curated record. Lineage: Eukaryota; Metazoa; Arthropoda; Insecta; Hymenoptera; Cephidae. The transcript is spliced from 4 exons.